GACUUUCAGGAGGUGUUCAACAAGGCCCGGGCCACUUCACUUCUGCCGCACCGACCAUAUGACUGCGGGAUUGACCUUUUCCCUAGCACCACUCCACCCCGGGGACAACUGUACUUUCUAUCGGGACCAGAGACCAAGGCUAUGGACACCUACAUUGGGGACUCCCUAGCUGCAGGAUUUAUACGUCCUUCAAUCUCUCCCGCCGGCGCAGGGUUCUUUGUGGAGAAGAAGGACAAGAGCCUAUGCCCGUGCAUCGACUACCGGGGACUCAAUGGCAUAACGAUGAAGAACCGCUACCCGCUACCACUCAUCUCCUCGGCCUUCGAGCCGCUCCAGCCACCGUGUUUUCCAAGCUGGAUCUACAGAACGCCUACCACCUGGUGCGGAUAUGGGAAGGGGAUGAGUGGAAGACCGCCUUCAACACGGCCAGAGGCCACUAAGUAUUUGGUCAUGCCAUUUGUCCUCACCAAUGCCCCUGCUGUGUUCCAGGCUCUGGUUCUUCAACGCCAGAGACAUCCUGGACCCAGGCCUCAUCGCGGAUUUCCAACGCCAACACCCCGGUCAACCAGGUAUGCGCCCAGGUCGUCUUGUUCAUCAAGUCAACCAGCGUUUUUUUUUCUCAGCUCCUGCUUUCCCCAGUCUCUCUUUUCCUUGCCCUCCUGGUUUUGACCCUUGCCUGUCCUGUUUCUGAGCCCGUCUGCCUGACCACUCUGCCUGCCCCUGAGCCUGCCUGCCAUCCUGUAACUUUGCCCCAUCUCUGGAUUACCUACUUCUGUCUGACCCUGAGCUGGUCUGCCAUCCUGUACCUUUGUACCUACCUUCAAACCUGAUACCAAGAGCAUUGAGCAUGACU
RNAcentral lists this long non-coding RNA (853 nucleotides) under Salmo salar (Atlantic salmon). RNAcentral describes it as "lncRNA (ENSSSAG00000118608.1, ENSSSAG00020081152.1)". The record is from RNAcentral. Lineage: Eukaryota; Metazoa; Chordata; Actinopteri; Salmoniformes; Salmonidae.